AUUGAACGCUGGCGGCAUGCUUUACACAUGCAAGUCGAACGGUAACAGGACUUCGGGUGCUGACGAGUGGCGACCGGGUGCGUAAUGCAUCGGAACGUACCACCAGGUGGGGGAUAACGCAGCAAUAGCUGUGCUAAUACCGCAUGUGAUCUGAGGUUGAAAGCGGGGGACCGCGCAGCAAUGUUUCGCUUCGGCCCUUACGUGUGGCCGAUGUCGAAUUAGCUAGUUGGUGAGGUAAAGGCCUACCAAGGCAACGAUACGUAGCUGAUCUGAGAGGACGACCAGCCACACUGGAACUGAGACACGGUCCAGACUCCUACGGGAGGCAGCAGUAGGGAAUUUUGGACAAUGGGCGCAAGCCUGAUGGAGCAAUGCCGCGUGCGGGAAGAAGGCCUUCGGAUUGUAAACCGCUUUUAGCAGGAACGAAACAGUGUCCACGAAUACCGGGCGCUAAUGACGGUACCUGCAGAGUAAGCAACGGCUAACUACGUG
RNAcentral lists this ribosomal RNA (492 nucleotides) under uncultured bacterium. RNAcentral describes it as "partial 16S ribosomal RNA". It matches the Rfam family "Bacterial small subunit ribosomal RNA", at positions 30 to 507 of the family's 1533-position model. The record is from RNAcentral.